Molecule: non-coding RNA, 1192 nt
Organism: Elaeis guineensis (African oil palm)
Lineage: Eukaryota; Viridiplantae; Streptophyta; Magnoliopsida; Arecales; Arecaceae
Source: RefSeq, a predicted model, not a curated record
CAUACCAUUGGCUCUCUAACAGGACACAUGAGUUGGGAGUUUGCUGCAAGCUGGAUUUCUUCAAACCAUUUGAUAGAAUUGAUUUGCGUUUCCUCCUUAGAUUACUCUAAUCAGAGGUUUCUCUUCUAAAUGCAGUGCAUGGAUGGAAAAUUUGCUCACUUCUUGCAAGGUAGCUGUAAAUGUGCACGGAGAUUUGGGGGAGUGGAUUUUGUGUAAGCGGGGUCUUAGACAAGGAGACCCUCUUUCACCAUUCCUGUUCAUUCUUGCAGUUGAUCCCUUGUGUAGGUUGCUGAAUAAUGCUACUUCUACAAAGAUUUUUGAGGGUUUGGAGAAUCUGUGGGUUUGUGGUGGUACGACAAUCCUUCAGUAUGUAGAUGACACUCUUGUUUUUGCCAAGGCUAGAAGAGAAAAAAUUGCAGUGCUGAAACUCAUACUAUACUGCUUUGAGAUGGGCUCUGGACUCUCAAAUAAUUGUCACAAAAGUUCGGCUACUCCAGUUGGAAAGGCCCAUUUGAUGCGGUGGAUUGCGCUAUCUGGCUUAAUUGUUCUCUCUCCAUCUUUCCUCUUCGGUACCUUGGGCAACCUCUUUAUGGAAGCAAACCAUCAAGAGCAUUAACAGAAUGGAGGUCAGAUUGGCAAGCUGGAAAGAUGGGCUAUCAAUCGAAUGGAUAAGCUGAGACAAGGUUUCAUAUGGAUGGGAGAUCACCAUGCUCAUGGAGUUUUUUGCAAGGUGAACUGGAGCAUGGUAUGCCUUAAUAAAGAAGGUGGUUUAGGGAUAAAGAACAUCUCCUUGUUCAAUCAAGCCUUGCUUGCAAAAUGGGGUUGGAGGUAUCUUAAAAAUGAUCAGGGACCAUGGAUGGCACAGGUGCACCUAGCCUAUUACAGAAAAGUUAAAUUAACCAGAAACUGGAAGCCAAAUAGAAGGUGUUCAAAGUUGUGGAAGGAUGUAAGUUCACUGCCUAGUUUUUGGAACAGAAUUAAAAUUCAUUUAGGUGAUGGUCGAAAUACUCUCUUUUGGAAGGAGAAUUGGAUCUGCGAUGCACCACUCCAAGUGAUCUUCCCUUUACUCUAUGUAAGAAGUCGAAGAAAGAAUAGGACUGUUGCUAAAUUCUAUAACUCAAAUUCUUCAAUAUGGAGAAUUAAAAGGCCUAAAGCUAACAAUCAAGAUGCUCUGUAGGAAUUUGAUAGCUUA